Molecule: ribosomal RNA, 1452 nt
Filed under: uncultured archaeon
Lineage: Archaea
Description: bacterial SSU rRNA
Rfam family: Archaeal small subunit ribosomal RNA
Source: RNAcentral
UUCCGGUUGAUCCUGCCAGAGGCUACUGCUAUCGGAGUCCGACUAAGCCAUGCGAGUCGUGGGUGCCCUCUUCGGAGGAGUAACCCGGCGGACGGCUCAGUAACACGUGGAUAACCUGCCCUUGGGACCGGGAUAACCCCGGGAAACUGGGGAUAAUACCGGAUAGGCCACCGAUGCUGGAAUGCGCGGUGGCUCAAAGCUACGGCGCCCAAGGAUGGGUCUGCGGCCGAUUAGGCUGUUGCCGGGGUAACGUCCCGGCAAACCUGUGAUCGGUACGGGUUGUGAGAGCAAGAGCCCGGAGAUGGAUUCUGAGACACGAAUCCAGGCCCUACGGGGCGCAGCAGGCGCGAAACCUUUACAAUGCACGCAAGUGUGAUAAGGGGACUCCGAGUGUCGGCACCUGUGUCGACUGUCCGGAUACCUAAAAAGUAUCCGAUAGCAAGGGCCGGGUAAGACCGGUGCCAGCCGCCGCGGUAACACCGGCGGCUCGAGUGGUAGCCACUAUUAUUGAGUCUAAAGCGUCCGUAGCCGGUCUGAAAAGUCCCUUGGGAAAUCCUACAGCUUAACUGUCGGGCUUCCAAGGGAUACUUUCAGACUUGAGACCCGGGAGAGGUUGGAGGUACUUCAGGAGUAGGAGUGAAAUCCUGUGAUACCUGGGGGACCACCUGUGGCGAAGGCGUCCAACUGGAACGGGUCUGACGGUGAGGGACGAAAGCUAGGGGCGCGAACCGGAUUAGAUACCCGGGUAGUCCUAGCCGUAAACGAUGUGGGCUAGGUGUCAGCCACACUGCGAGUGUGGCUGGUGCCGUAGGGAAGCCGUGAAGCCCACCACUUGGGAAGUACGGCCGCAAGGCUGAAACUUAAAGGAAUUGGCGGGGGAGCACCACAACGGGUGGAUGCUGCGGUUUAAUUGGAUACAACGCCGGAAAUCUCACCGGGGGAGACAGCAAGAUGAAGGUCAGGCUGAAGACCUUACCAGAUUAGCUGAGAGGAGGUGCAUGGCCGUCGUCAGUUCGUACUGUGAAGCAUCCUGUUAAGUCAGGCAACGAGCGAGACCCGCGCCCACAAUUGCCAGCAUGUCCUCCGGGACGAUGGGCACAUUGUGGGGACCGCCUCUGCUAAAGAGGAGGAGGGAGCGGGCAACGGUAGGUCAGUAUGCCCCGAAUCUCCCGGGCUACACGCGGCAUACAAUGGACGGGACAAUGGGUAUCGACCCCGAGAGGGGGAGGCAAUCCCAUAAACCCGUUCGUAGUUCGGAUUGAGGGCUGCAACUCGCCCUCAUGAAGCUGGAAUCCGUAGUAAUCGCGUGUCAACAUCACGCGGUGAAUGUGUCCCUGCUCCUUGCACACACCGCCCGUCAAACCACCCGAGUGGGGUCCAGGUGAGGCUGUGGUUCUUGCCACAUUCGAACCUGGGUUCCGCAAGGGGGGUUAAGUCGUACCAAGGUAGCCA